Mytilus trossulus (common blue mussel) is the source of this 453-nucleotide long non-coding RNA. RefSeq lists it as uncharacterized. The record is from RefSeq and is a predicted model, not a curated record. NCBI's taxonomy places the organism in Eukaryota, Metazoa, Mollusca, Bivalvia, Mytilida, Mytilidae. The transcript has 3 exons.
GCAAACAACCCUGAUCAUUGACAAGACACAAAGUGAAAGUAGACUAAAAGCCAAUAUUGGUUGAAAUUAAAAAAAAAAACACACUUCCACUUGUAUAAUGUCAGCAUAAAAGGAAGUACACCUGGUCCAUCCAGAAAAAAAACCACUUCAUGACCAUGGUGACACUGAUGAUGAAAGUACAAAGACAGAUUUUAACCCAUUGCCACCAUUAAAAAGGAACAGAAGAAAGUGCAGUACCAUUAAAUUUGUAGGAAGAAGAAUUGCACAUGAAUGGAUUUUGGAAGACGGGUGUAAAAAAUGGUUUAAAGGAUUGGUCUUAUCAGUUUUAAAGAAGUCAGAUGGUGAUGUAAAUGCAGUGUAUGAGAUAAAAUAUGAUGGAGAGGAUGAAGCUAAUGAAGUUGAACACAAGGAGUUGUUAGAAGACUAUAGAAACUCAUCCUUAAAAUUCAUAGA